Aegilops tauschii subsp. strangulata is the source of this 1195-nucleotide long non-coding RNA. RefSeq lists it as uncharacterized. The record is from RefSeq and is a predicted model, not a curated record. Lineage: Eukaryota; Viridiplantae; Streptophyta; Magnoliopsida; Poales; Poaceae.
ACACACUGUAGGUGUUCUUGUUUAUGUUUCAUGCGGUCACAAAAACAUUAAGUUACAUAUGUUAAGUUUAUAUAUGUAGCUUAGGCUUCCUGAUCCAGCUAAUAAAGCAAGCAGUCCAUUUAACAGCAAGACAAUGGCAUAUCUAUAUGUACCUUGAGCGCUACAUUUUCUAGCAGCAAGAUAAUAGUGCAUCCUUAUGCACCUUGAGAAUUGCAUUUUCUACCUGCGCUUGUACUACUAUUACUAUUGGACUGACAUAAAGUCAGCGAGUUCAAAAUUUCCAUGUUUAGUUUUGACUGAUGUUAUGGUUCUUCAUUGAGUUUUGUUCCAGAUAUUUACCUAGACCCUUGAGAUGCUAUUCAUAUUGGCCUGAAUGCAGUUGAAUUCUGAAUCAUAUAGAAGCUGGGAGAUUUGUCUUUCACAUAUUUUCAGUGCAUGCUCGGAGAACAGGAUAAGAGGAGAGGCUUGAAUCUUGAGAUGACAAGGGUAGUCACCUGCUGCGACUAAAGGAAGGAGGUCAAUGGAGCAAAAGGCACGAAAAGGAAGGAGCAGCGCCACAGGGACAAUGUUGUCGGCAGCGCCUUUGGAAGGAUUCGCUCUAGAGAAGUUACGGUAGUCGGCCAUCGCCCAGGGGAAGCGGGGAGGAUGUUGUUCGGAACGGCUGGGUCUAGAGGAGUGUGUCCAGGUGGUGGCCGAGGAUGGCCACGAGCAGUUGGGUUGGGCAUUUGUCAACGUGAUGGCGUUGUUGCUCAAGGUACCAACACCCUUGUUUUGACCCAAUGUUUCUCGGCUAGCUGUGCAUGGCUGGGACUGUUUCGUGCAUCUGGGCGACGGCUCAUGCCAUCCACUUCCAAAGCAAUAAGACUUGAAAGGAGAAAAUGUUGGCAAAAAGUCCCUCAAAAUUCAUAGUGUGGGUGUAGAAGGUUUGGGGAUUUUGAGCCGGAUGGGCCAUUGAUGGUUGCGGUUGGCUUGGAUAGGGAAGGUAGAGAUAGUAAGUGAAGAGGAGCAGGAGAACGAAAACGAAGAAGAAUAGUGGUUUAUAGGCAGAAAACAAUUAAGAAUGUUGCUUAAUGUGCAUGAGGAUCCAUACAAUGUAUAUUUGACACGAUUAAAGUUGACUCAUGUCGAGCCAGGGAAGGUAGAGAUAAUAAGUGAAGAGGAGCAGGAGAACGAAGACGAAGAAGAAUAGUGGUUU